CUCGCUCUUGCCGUCACGGGUUGCUCGUCGUCGAACCUCAUCGCUGCCAGCGCAAGCCACCACAGCUCUCCGCCCUAGCUUGCCCACGCCUGUGCGAGCAACCGUAGCUCCCCGAAGGUUCUCACCCACGCUGAUACCCGAGCGAGCCACUGCGACUCGCCGCCGGUUCUCGUCCACGUCUGCAGGCGCCGGCGUAGUUCUUCCUUGCCUCACGGAUGCCUGCGCUAGAUACCGCAGCUCGCUGCGGGUUCUCCCCCACGCCUGCGCGCGAUAGCGCAGCUCUCUGCAGGUCCUGAACAAGUGGCGUGACGGCAGCAGCGGCCGGAGGAAGAGAUGGGUGCGUGUGUAGAUCCUGAAGAUGUUGAAUGCAAGCAACAUAGAGAACUGUCCAACACUACUCUCUUGUCAAUUUUUGCAUGUCCAGCCUUCUCGGAAGAUGGCAUUAGGCAGUUUACUUUCUGAUGGAGACCACUUCUGAUGCUACCUAGAUUGGCCGAUCUACUUUUUUCAUCAGCGACACUACUAUCCAUUUCAUGAGGAAGCACUCGGCAUAUCUGUUGUAGGAUCACAAUGUUCAGCCUGGCUUCUAUCUUGUAUCUGGUACUUCUUUUUCUUUUUUCUCCAGCAGGUUGCUUGGGUGGGCAGUUUAUAACAGCUAAUGGUCAUAGGUUGCUCCAACAAGCAAUUGUCAGAGACAAAAACAAAAGGUUGCUCCACCAAGCAACUGUGUUAACAGCAUAUAUUAUUCUAUACAAGAUACAAAGUGUGUCCUGGUUUUCAUCGCAUCACGACUUCUUUUGUCUCUUUUCUUGGCAAGAUUGUGGUGACUAUAUAUAUGAUGUGUA
This is a long non-coding RNA of Triticum aestivum (bread wheat), 845 nucleotides long. RefSeq lists it as uncharacterized. The transcript has 4 exons. NCBI's taxonomy places the organism in Eukaryota, Viridiplantae, Streptophyta, Magnoliopsida, Poales, Poaceae. The record is from RefSeq and is a predicted model, not a curated record.